GCAGAUUAAAUAACACUUACUUAUCUAUCAUAGCUUAUAAUAUAAUCAACUAUGCAUAAAUAAAAUCUCCAUCUUAAUGACAUUUAAAAACUAUAUGCAUAGGCACCAAAAUGGAUUAAAACAAAGUAAGCCAUUUUCGCAUGGCUCAUAUUCACAUAUCCCAAAAUUUAAACAUAUUAACUAGACUAUACAUGCCAUAGGUUCGAAUUCAAAAUUUAUAAAAUACCAAAGAUGGUCGAUAGUGUGAUAGACUAUGCUGACGAUUCCCGAGCUCGUAACGCGACUUCAAAAUCUAUAAAAUAGAGGUAAACAAAUACAACACACAUUAAGCUAUUAAAGCUUAGCAAGUCAUGAGCAAAAAUUUAAAUAUAUGUAUAUAUAUACUUAUACUUAUUCCAUCAUUAAGUUAAAAUAAACUAACAUCAUUUAUAUAUUUAUAUAUGUAUAUCAAAUGCAUAUAAUCACUUAAUUUAGCAUAUUCGGAUCACCGGUACUUAGCCUGCUAGGUUUAUAACCUGAUUAAUAUCACCGGUACUUAGCCUGCUAGGCUUAUAGCCUGAUUCAGAUCACCGGCACUUAGCCUGCUAGGUUUAUAACCUGAUUCAUAUCAUCGACACUUAGCCUGCUAGGCUUAUAGCCUGAUUCAGAUCACCGGCACUUAGCCUGCUAGGUGUAUAACCUGAUUCAAUUCACCAAUUCUAAACUUGAUAAUUCAAUGAUUCAACCGAAUACAUUUAUAUAUAUAUUUGAGUCUAUCAUAUACAUAUAUAAUUACGUACUUAUAAUCAAAGCAUGAAUUUAUACUUGUAUACUCAUACAUAUUCGAGUCUAAUAUAUACAUCCCUAAUUUCAUACUCUAAUCCAUAUAAGGUAUCAUACAUGUGUAUACAAGCUUGUUCGAUCCACAUAUAUAUAUAUAAAUAUAAUUUUAUAUAUAAUACCUUUGAUUAAAAAAAAAACCAAAAAUUGUACAUGUAUAUACCUUAAUAUAUAUUUGAAUCUUUUAUAAACUUAUUUAACAUUCAUACUUUAAUUAAGAUCAAGAAUUUAAAUAUUUAUAUUACACACAUAUAUAUUCGCACAUUAUAUAAACACAACCAUAACAUUUGAACUUUUAAUUGAAUCCAAAAAUUUACACUUUUAUAUACAUACCUAUUCGAACAUCACAUAUAUAUAUGUAUAAAAUUCACACAUCAACUAACAUCAAUUUUAUACUUGUAGUUAUAGCUCAUUAAUUAUAAAAUAAAUAUUCUUAUAUAUAUAUUGAUUCGAUAACAUAAAUUUUACUAACAGACUUACCUCGGAUAUCAGCGAACACGAUCGACUAUUCUAUUACUUUCGUUUUCCCCCGAUCCAAAUUUGUUUUCUUCGUUUCUUGAUCUAAACAUAAUCAAAUUUAAUCUUUUUUAUUCAUCAAAAAAUUCAAUUAAUUCAAAAAAUACAUAAAUGGGCAAAUUACUAUUUUGCCCCUUAUAUUUUGCACUUUUUGCAAUUUAAUCCUUUUUGCAUAAAACACAAAAUACACAAAAUUUGUGCAUACCAUAUCUAGGCCGAAUCUUCCUAUAGUUCAUCUAAGUUCACACAUUUAUUUAUUUCACAUUCUAGUCCCUAAAAAUAUUAUUUUUGCAAUUUAGCCCUAAUUACUCAAUUUCACCAAAAAUUCCAAUACAAAAUAUAUUAAUCUAAAACAUAUCUUUCAUUAUUCAUUAUCAACAUCACAAAACACAAUUAUUCAUCAAUGGCAUAGCUCAAAAUAUUCAUCAAAAUCAAAAAUUCAAGCAUGGGUCAAAUAGUAUUCGAAGCAACGAUCUCAAAAACAUAAAAAUCAUCAAAAACCGAACAAAAUUCAUACCUUAAUCAAAGCUUGAAAGUGCCGAAUGAAACAAAGUUUUAAACCCUUUUUUUUUCUCUCCAAUUCGGC
This 1921-nucleotide long non-coding RNA is filed under the name Gossypium barbadense (sea-island cotton). RNAcentral's name for it is "long non-coding RNA (GBAR_LNC016888)". Lineage: Eukaryota; Viridiplantae; Streptophyta; Magnoliopsida; Malvales; Malvaceae. The record is from RNAcentral.